GUGGGGAAUAUUGGGCAAUGGGCGAAAGCCUGACCCAGCAACGCCGCGUGAAGGAAGAAGGCUUUCGGGUUGUAAACUUCUUUUGUCAGGGACGAAAAAAAUGACGGUACCUGACGAAUAAGCCACGGCUAACUACGUGCCAGCAGCCGCGGUAAUACGUAGGUGGCAAGCGUUAUCCGGAUUUACUGGGUGUAAAGGGCGUGUAGGCGGGAAAGCAAGUCAGAUGUGAAAACUAUGGGCUCAACCCAUAGCCUGCAUUUGAAACUGUUUUUCUUGAGUACUGGAGAGGCAGAUGGAAUUCCUAGUGUAGCAGUGAAAUGCGUAGAUAUUAGGAGGAACACCAGUGGCGAAGGCGAUCUGCUGGACAGCAACUGACGCUGAGGCGCGAAAGCGUGGGGAGCAAACAGGAUUAGAAACCCUUGUAGUCC
RNAcentral lists this ribosomal RNA (428 nucleotides) under uncultured bacterium. RNAcentral's name for it is "partial 16S ribosomal RNA". It matches the Rfam family "Bacterial small subunit ribosomal RNA", at positions 354 to 796 of the family's 1533-position model. The record is from RNAcentral.